GCUCGUGCCAGGAAUGACCUCAGCCUGCACAGCAGGGCUUUACCUAUGAAAAUCUGUGCUCUGAGCUAGAUCACAACAGGACUCUCCCUUCUCCAAACUCUUCUCCUUCGAAGUACCCCCUCCUGUACCCUCUAGAUUAAUGCCCACAUCACAAUUUCCCACCCAAGCCUAGUACCAAAAGUCAAGAGAACAGUGCCAUUGAGCCUACAAGAGAGGAAUCAGUAAGUACCUUUGUCUCUUUACAUUCAUGUGGCUGUGGCUGGCAGUCCCCUUUUCUUCUCCUCUUCUCCCUAUUCUCCCACCUCCUUAGAGGCUCUGAGGGAUCCUGCUCAGGUUGAGAGCUGUGAGGCUUCUUCCAUGGGGGCUUCUUCCCAGGGAAGGCCAAGACUCUCUGGGCAAAAACCAGAGACUGGACUCUUCAUCGUGAAGGCUCUUCACUGUGUAGCUGGGACUUGGAUUUUGUCCUGCUUAAUUCAGCUGCUAUUGCCAAAUCUGAAUAUGUUUAAGAUGAAGUAGAAACUCUAGUCAAUUAUUAGAUUUCCUAGAAGAAUCUCAACUAAAACAUAUUCUGGCCUCUAGACUCAAUAACCAAUCCCUUGAUGAAUCCCAAUAAUUAUAACAACAGCUAACAUUUGCCUAGCCUUGCUUGUGUGCAAGGUACUUUUACAUAUGCUAUUUUUUUUUACAAUAUUCUAUGAUGUUUUAGUCCCAUUUAAUAGUUGAAUAAAUGGUGACUCAGAGAGAUUUUCCCAAUGACAUAAUAAGCAAGUGGUAGAACAGGAACUAAACCAAGUUCUAUUACUAGGUAGACCCAUAUAUACUCUUUUCCUCCAUAACUCUCUUCCCCAAAUCUGUCAUGCUGUUUGUCUUUAGUUUUGCAUCUCAUUUGUACCUUGAUCACUUUAUACUGAAAUGUACACAUUACAUGGUCCAAUUUCUGCUCUUUUGGUCUUAGUUCCCUCCACCCCCACAUCCCGAUGCCAGCCUCUAGGUUGAGCGGCUUCACGUGGAUUGGCAAUGAAUUGACCACUGGCCUUCCCAUCUGGAGACUCAGGUUAAGUUCUGUCUCUGUCACUAAUGAGGGAUGUGAUUUCAAAUUGGUCACCUCACUUGUCUAAGCCUUGCUAUGUGAAGCUGAUAUAUGGUUGAUCUUUGGAAUCCCUUCUAGCUUUAAAACUGUGAUUCUUUGAUGUGAUUCCCUUUUGGGGAGGGGCAGUUUCCCAAGUCAACUGGAAAUGGUUUGGCCUAUUGCCUAGUUAAUGUCACCUGGAGCUUGGGGUGGGAACAGGGAGUCAUUUAGCUAGCUACUCUAAAUAUGCUAGGAGGAACCUGUCCCCCAACUCCACCUCUGCAGAACCCUUCCUUUCUGACUUCUUUUUUCCAGCCCUCCAAUAUCAUUGUGACUCCUUUUAGGUAAGAUUAUGAGCUUCCAAAUUCCUCUGCCCUUGACUCUCAUUGACCAGUGAUUAUUGCCCAAGCCAGUACUGCACCAGACAGGCUGGCACUCCACUGAUCUCUUCAGGAUGUCUGUGAGCCUGGGCUGAAGGUUAGUCACAAUCCUCAAUGCUCAAGGAGACCCCAGGGGCCCUGCAGCUGCUCCCAGCUGUCUGCCUGAACAAUGCAGAUCCUGUCAGGUCUCCUGUUGAGCCUUCCUUCAUGGGGUAUUCAGAUUGCAGUAUUAAGUGGAGGCAUCUCAGCUGCUUCCUGUUUCUUGGGUCUCAGCAAAGAUUCCUAAACAAAGACAAUCAGCCCAGUUCUGCAUCUGACAAGAGCCCCCAGCAAUGGGGGAUGGGGGGAUGAAAGACUUUCACCAUCAUCUCAGAGCCCAAAGUCAAACUUCUCCAGUAGGAAGGGACCCCAAGGACCAAGGGCUCCAGGUCUCUGCUUCCAGUCAUACCAACCAGGCGUGAGGAUGGGAUUACAGCCCAGUUUUCAGAAAUGUAUUGGAAAGUGCCUGGUGUGGUGGCACACACCUGUAACCCCAACAGCUUGGGAGGCUGAGGUGGGAGGAUCACAAGUUCAAGGCCAACCUCAGCUAUUUAGCAGGCCCUAAGCAACUUAGCAAGAGACUAUCUCAAACUAAGAAAUAAAAAGGGCUGGGGAUGUGGCUAAGUGAUAAAGCACCCCCGGGUUCAAAUCCUAGUACCAAAGGAAAGAAAGAAAGAAACCUUUGGGAAAGUGAUUUUUGUGGACUCCUAGAUCACCCUUCUUGGUAUUUAAUGACUCAAACAGGAAUCUGCUAGCAACUAUCUUGCCCACGGUUAAACCUCUUGUACAAACUACUUAUAACAGUGUUCACUCUCCACUUUAGCAAGGGGCAUCCUUCUGCCUAUCUCCUGAGCCCAGCUAUCCCCUCCAUUAUCAAGCAUGGCAGAUGUGUCACCUAAAUUCAAAUGUCCUCCCCCAUUUCCUUGGCAGUUCCAGCCCUUAACAUGCUUCAGAUCUCUGCUAUAAAAGUUAUCAUCUCCUGAAACUCCUGGCAGUGACACCAGAAGAUUCUAGUUAGUCUUCAUUCUCAUUUUUCUUUUCCCCCAGACUUCCAAACACUAAGUUAUCACUUGACAAUUUUUGCCAAUGUACUUACCUUUGUAUUUCUCUUACUCUCCCCCCACCCCAAAUUAGUGUCUUUCCAACCUAUUCCAUAAACUGGGAGCUCCUCUGGUGUACAGGCCAGGACUCCUUCCUCCUGAACCCUCAUGGGUGCUUCCUGAUUAUUGACUAUCAGGAAGUCCCACCUAAGAGCUAACCCUCUGGCUACUGGGUGGUUGGGGCCUAGAAAUAUGAUAAGGCUUUGGCCUGCUGCCAACUUACUGGAUGGUCCCCAAGGGCAAUUUGGGGAUGUGAAGGGGAAAAUGACUCCUAUUACAAUGUAUUUCCAAGUGCCCUAGAGUAGAAACCAUGCUUCUCACUGCAUUCAGGGCCACUGUCUACCUCUUUCUUGCUCUUAGCAUCCUGGCCUGCCAAGGCUACAGUACUAGUAAGACCUACUGCAUAAUGAGGAACAUCACUCAAGGGCUGUUCCAUCCAGAGACAUGUGGCAGAGAAGUGGCUGGACAAGGGAUCCUGAAGGUGAGCAAAGGUCAGACAUGAGCCAAAUGUCUAGCUCCAUCUCUGCUGCAGAGACAGAGAUAGGCUGUUUCUUUAGGGCUAAUGAACAACAAGUUGGAGCCAUGACUGGGGGCUGGAGUUGGGGGGCUGUAGAGCAGAGUUUAUAGGCACUUGCAUUUUCUUAACGGCUCCCUCCUCACACAUUCCUCUGCAUUUUUCCCUUUUAUUAAUGUGGCAUCUUUCCCAGGCCACUUUAUGGGCCCGUGUGUGUUUUCACUUAUGCCCUGAUUGAGUUUGAUCGUGUCUCUGCCUAUGAAGAACCCUUAGAUCUUGCUUGAGGACUCCCCACCCCCACCCCCACGUUCCCCUGCAAGGACUCCAGCACUGCAUCUCAACAGAACCUCAGGGACUCUCCCGUCUUUUCCACCACACUGGGCACUUCUCUACAAAGGGUCACACCUCAUCUGGACCCCAAAUAAGGUGACCCAGUUUGAUGACUCACCUAAAUCUCAAAUGACUCCUGGAACUUGCCCAACAAUCAAAUCUGCCACAGAGGAUGAAAAGGAAGAUUUGCCACAACUGAAGAUUUUCAAAGGAAUGUGCUGUGAGCCUGAAGGCCGUUGCCAAAGAGCAGUUCUGAAAAUAUUUUGAGCAAUCACAGCUCUGAGAGAACAUAGCUUUCCAAGGGAACUGCCUUCAAAGGCACAGCAUGCGUUUUUGGAGAGUCAAGCUUCGGCGUGUUUAUUAAAAAAGACGCUCAUGUUGCUUUCAGGAACUCUGCUCUCAGCCUUUCUCUCUUCUGCUCAGUUCCAAGAGGGCAGGACAGAGGUUUGCAGCUCACUUGCUCUCUUUGGGCCCUGUUACCCUCUAUCUGUCUCCUGUUAUCUGGAGGUUGCUCCGUUUCAGUUUCACUGGGACAUAAGUGGAAAGCUUGGUGACAGCCCUGUGAUUUUUGAAAAAUAUACCCUCUGGGAGCUGCAGUUUUUUUUCUCUGUAAAAUAAGGAAAAGUCAUACACAUGGGCUGGGGAUAUCACUCAGUUGGUAGAGUGCUUGUCUUGCAGGCACAAGACCCUGGGUUGAAUCCCCAGCAUCACCAAAAAAAAUAAAAGAAAGAAAAGUCAUAUACAUUCUGCAGGGUGGUGAGAAUUAAAUCUGUAAGAGGCUUGGCAUGCUGGGGGUCAUCAGUAAAUACUAGG
Molecule: transfer RNA, 4245 nt
Filed under: Marmota monax (woodchuck)
Lineage: Eukaryota; Metazoa; Chordata; Mammalia; Rodentia; Sciuridae
Rfam family: tRNA (bases 4073-4145)
Source: RNAcentral